Molecule: long non-coding RNA, 1748 nt
Filed under: Marmota monax (woodchuck)
Lineage: Eukaryota; Metazoa; Chordata; Mammalia; Rodentia; Sciuridae
Source: RNAcentral
AGAAGACCGAGACACAGAGGUUAAGUUCUUGUUCAAGUGCAGAUGAAGACUGAGUUCCAUAGUGGGAGUUUGAGGUCUGUUUGACUCUCCAAAUCUCACUUUUUUAAACAAUGACAGUCCUUCUUUGCUUCUCUUGAACACAUAGUUUUUAUUUCCAGUGUAUGUAUUUUGAAACCUUGUGUGGGUUUUGGAGAUGUGAGAUUCUGAUUUUUUUCAGAUUAUGUAUUUAAUCUUCAUGUUUUUAAAAAUAUCCAUCAACUGCCAGAAUACUUUUUCAGUGCUGCCCUCUGGGGCACGCUGGCUUUGCAGUGAGCCAUGACUAGAGUAUAGCAGAGUGUCUCCAGUAUUUCAACGUAUGCAAUUUCCUUACUGGGUCACAGGACAUUUAGAGUAUGUGAGAUUUCAAGGCAUCCAUAUAUAUAUCAGCAUAAAUCACCCUUAAAUCUCUACUCUGAGUAGAGCCGUGUCAGCUCAGUCUUAAUUCUUUUCCUAGUUUCUGGGCUGAGUAGUUAAACUUUGAUAUUUCAUUGUCAGGAAAUUGGUGGGUUCCUUAGUGGGGGAAAUAAUAAUUUGUGUGAUUUAUCAGUGCCAGAGAAGCAGCAAUAAGGAAGGGCUAACAAAAAUGGAGAGUCAGUGCCGUGUUAGAUAACAUGCUUAUGCCUGUAUUUAAUCACCUCUACUAGCCUAUGAGACAAACACUAUUAUUUCAAUUUUUACAAAUGAGAAACCUGAGACUCAGAUUUGCUGAGGUUGCCCAGUAGGUAGGUAAUUCUGGAAUUUAAACUGAAGCUAGUCAGAUUCCACAGUCCGAUGCCUUUCAAUGACAUGAAGCUUGAAUAAUUGAAGUGAAUUGUUCUCUUUAAACCAAUUUCCGUGUGUCUUUUGAAUUCUGUGGUCAAUAAAAUCUAUUUUAUGAAUUGCAAUUGGUGUACAAAUAAUAGAGAAAAAAUAUCAAAGUUCACUCCAUAGAGAAAGGACAAGUGUUGAUGUGUGAAAGUUUGGUUUCAGUUCCAUAUUUAACCAUGUAUUGCAUUGUGCCUAAGAGAGUGUGUCCUGGCUGGCCUUGGGGGGAUGCAUUUUAUCAUAGCUUGUGGUCAAGAGUCCUCAAACCCCCUUCUCUGUCUUGUGCUCAGGUUCAGACACUAGAUAUCCUGUAGCCUUCUCUGGUUCAUAGAUCAGGCUGAUCUCCCCCAUGCCUUUGCAGCCCUGCUCCUGUUCCUGUGCUCUGUGUCCCAGGGAAGGGUGUCAAGGUCCCUCUCAUCAUGACCAUCCUCAACAACAGCCUCUUUCUUACCCAUUGCAUCUAAGCUGCCUUUCAGUACUAAUGAAUUACUUAUGAAAUAAAUCUCAAAACUACUUCCUCCACUCUAUCCCUCCCUCCCUGUUGUUGGAGGGAAGGAUGCUGUUGAAUCCACACCCAUCAUUCUGGGCAAUGAGGCACCUGCAAUCCCUUUUGCCUUUUUCUGUCCCACCUGCCUUUGGCUUCUGUUCACUCCUUGACUGUCUGUGUGGUGUUGAGGAAGUAACCCAUUCUUCCUCUCACCUAAUGUACCGAGCAGACGGUGAAUCUGAGCACAUUAACACCUCGUAUGAGAAAGAUCGCACUGUGCCACAUAGAGCCAACAUUUGACGUUGUCUUAAGUUUAUUUUUCACCAACCUUUGAUUAGAAAAUACCAUCUCCUUGUGGUUUUAGUUAGCACCUUUUCAUUCCCUAAAGCAGUUGGACAUUUUUAUGUUUAUAGAUCAC